RNAcentral lists this ribosomal RNA (537 nucleotides) under Aspergillus ruber. RNAcentral's name for it is "eukaryotic LSU rRNA". The stretch from base 168 to 321 matches the Rfam family "5.8S ribosomal RNA". The record is from RNAcentral. Lineage: Eukaryota; Fungi; Ascomycota; Eurotiomycetes; Eurotiales; Aspergillaceae.
GGUGAACCUGCGGAAGGAUCAUUACCGAGUGCGGGCCCUCUGGGUCUUACCUCCCAUCCGUGUCUAUCUGUACCCUGUUGCUUCGGCGUGGCCACGGCCCGCCGGAGACUAACAUUUGAACGCUGUCUGAAGUUUGCAGUCUGAGUUUUUAGUUAAACAAUCGUUAAAACUUUCAACAACGGAUCUCUUGGUUCCGGCAUCGAUGAAGAACGCAGCGAAAUGCGAUAAUUAAUGUGAAUUGCAGAAUUCAGUGAAUCAUCGAGUCUUUGAACGCACAUUGCGCCCCCUGGUAUUCCGGGGGGCAUGCCUGUCCGAGCGUCAUUGCUGCCCUCAAGCACGGCUUGUGUGUUGGGCUUCCGUCCCUGGCAACGGGGACGGGCCCAAAAGGCAGUGGCGGCACCAUGUCUGGUCCUCGAGCGUAUGGGGCUUUGUCACCCGCUCCCGUAGGUCCAGCUGGCAGCUAGCCUCGCAACCAAUCUUUUUAACCAGGUUGACCUCGGAUCAGGUAGGGAUACCCGCUGAACUUAAGCAUAUCAA